Molecule: ribosomal RNA, 491 nt
Filed under: uncultured bacterium
Lineage: Bacteria
Description: partial 16S ribosomal RNA
Rfam family: Bacterial small subunit ribosomal RNA
Source: RNAcentral
AGUGAACGCUGGCGGUAGGCCUAACACAUGCAAGUCGAACGGCAGCACAGUAAGAGCUUGCUCUUACGGGUGGCGAGUGGCGGACGGGUGAGGAAUACAUCGGAAUCUACUUUUUCGUGGGGGAUAACGUAGGGAAACUUACGCUAAUACCGCAUACGACCUACGGGUGAAAGCAGGGGAUCUUCGGACCUUGCGCGAUUGAAUGAGCCGAUGUCGGAUUAGCUAGUUGGCGGGGUAAAGGCCCACCAAGGCGACGAUCCGUAGCUGGUCUGAGAGGAUGAUGCGCCACAGUGGAACUGAGAGACGGUACAGACGCCUACGGGAGGCAGCAGUGGGGAAUAUUGGAAGAUGGGCGAAAGCCUGAUCCAGCCAUACCGCGUGGAUGAAGAAAGCCUACGGGUUGUAAAGCCCUUUUGUUGGGAAAGAAGAGCAGCAGGUUAAUACCCCGCUGUUCUGACGGUACCCAAAGAAGAAGCACCGGCUAACUUCGU